Long non-coding RNA from Cydia splendana, 1039 nucleotides. RefSeq lists it as uncharacterized. NCBI's taxonomy places the organism in Eukaryota, Metazoa, Arthropoda, Insecta, Lepidoptera, Tortricidae. The transcript has 2 exons. The record is from RefSeq and is a predicted model, not a curated record.
CUGCGGGCUCAGCACGGUUCCAUUUUUAUCGACUAUCACUAUGCGCGUCCCUUUCGCACUUACGUACUUGUUAGAACGUGACAGGCAUGGUGACAAGGGAUAAAAACGCGACCGUGCUAAGCCGCCUGGACAUUUUUUGUUUAAACAAAAGUGAAUGUUUCAUUCGAUGAUUGCAUCAUUCUCUUUUGAUAAAAAUCCUAAAAGUUUUACACAAUUUUUACUGAUUGGUUUGUGAUUAUGAUGACGUUAAUCGUUAGGAUUGAACAAAAAUCACAUAAAUAAAAGGAUGUCACUAGCCCAAGGGCUACAACUUGAAUUAGGUUAUUUUCUAUAAAAAGGCUGAGUCUAAUGUAUUCGUGGAUACAAUGGCUUUUGAGAUGUAGGGGAGAAUUAGUUUUGUUUGCGUUAAGGGGCCGGGCAGUGUUGCCAGGUCUAAUGUGUACGAUAUUGAGUCUUAUUACCUAAACUAUAAGGUCCAAAAGUAUCCAUAUCUGUAGAUGUGAUUUAGGCAAGAUUUCGAGGCGGAUUAAGGAAUUAAACUAUAAUUUUUUUCUUGUACCUUUAUUGUCUAUCGUAUGUUUUUUAUUGUACUAUUUUUUGUAUUCAUACUAAAAUUAUUUUUGAAGAGAAUAAUACACUGUCCCUCACCAUUUAGGAUCUUGGAACUCUCAUUUGGCAUGUAAAGCCUGACCAGUAAUAUAUGAUCACGCGCCAUGUUGCUGAAUUUCACUGGAACUAAUUUUUUCAUACUAAACUGAACUGUCACCCUAUAAAUGAGAAUCACAGCACCCUCUUGACAAUGGUCAUAUAUUAUUGGUCAGGCUUUAAGUUUUUCUGUCUGACUAUACCUAAGUCUUAGAUUUCAUUUAGAAGUGGAGUGAUUGUAUAUUUUGUUAGUUUGGAGUGACGCUGCCGCGCCCCGCGUGUAUUUUGUAUUAUGUAGCUAGUUUUACGUUCGAUGUUUUUUCUAUAGAUAUUUAAUAUUCACCAUGUAUAUAGUAGAUAGUACAAAAAUAUUAAAUGAAAACUAUUUAAAAUA